CAAAUGUGACAGGGCUAAGUCGAUACCAAACUUACAAGUUCUUGGACCUGUACAGAAGAUGUGUGGUGACUGCAGUCUGUUAUUAACAUGGGAUGAGUUCUUCAAUGGAUAAUUUAGGGGCCUGUUUUGCACAAGAGGCACUAUUUUACCUGUAUUUCUCGCAUUAUCCAGCUGGUGUCACUUAAGUCCCUUUUUUUGUUUCAAUCAAGCAGCUUCCCCAACAUGACCAAGAUUGUGAAACAAUAUCCCUUUUGCUAAUAAUUCUGUAGAUGUGGGAAGAAUUGUUAAUACAAGGGCUGACUCAUCAAUGGAAAUGUGCUGACCUAAGUGAGAUUAUUAUUAUUUUUUUCCUGAUUGUUAUGUAAGGCUGAAACAUUAAAAUAUUUUAAUCAGA
Oncorhynchus gorbuscha (pink salmon) is the source of this 394-nucleotide long non-coding RNA. RefSeq lists it as uncharacterized. NCBI's taxonomy places the organism in Eukaryota, Metazoa, Chordata, Actinopteri, Salmoniformes, Salmonidae. The record is from RefSeq and is a predicted model, not a curated record. The transcript has 2 exons.